This 433-nucleotide ribosomal RNA is filed under the name uncultured bacterium. RNAcentral's name for it is "partial 16S ribosomal RNA". It matches the Rfam family "Bacterial small subunit ribosomal RNA", at positions 29 to 507 of the family's 1533-position model. The record is from RNAcentral.
AACGAACGCUGGCGGCAUGCCUAACACAUGCAAGUCGAACGAGACCUUCGGGUCUAGUGGCGCACGGGUGCGUAACGCGUUGGAACCUGCCCUUAGGUUCGGAAUAACUCCCCGAAAGGGGUGCUAAUACCGGAUAAUGUCUUCGGACCAAAGAUUUAUCGCCUUUGGAUGGGCCCGCGUUGGAUUAGCUAGUUGGUAGGGUAAAAGCCUACCAAGGCGACGAUCCAUAGCUGGUCUGAGAGGAUGAUCAGCCACACUGGGACUGAGACACGGCCCAGAAUGCGACGGGAGGGAGCAGUGGGGUAUAUUGGACGAGGGGCGAAAGCGUGAUCCAGCAAUGCCGCGGAAGUGAUGAAGGCCUUAGGGUUGUAAAGCUCUUUUAGCCGGGAUGAUAAUGACAGUACCGGGAGAAUAAGCGCCGGCUAACUCCGUG